This 405-nucleotide RNase P RNA is filed under the name Candidatus Woesearchaeota archaeon. RNAcentral's name for it is "RNase P RNA component". It matches the Rfam family "Archaeal RNase P". Rfam says of the family: Ribonuclease P (RNase P) is a ubiquitous endoribonuclease, found in archaea, bacteria and eukarya as well as chloroplasts and mitochondria. Lineage: Archaea; Nanobdellati; Candidatus Woesearchaeota. The record is from RNAcentral.
CAGGGUUGGUACUUAGCUAACGGUUCCACGUGACGUUAAAUUUUCGCAAGAAAAUUUAUGGCGUUUCACUUGUUUGAACUGAGGAAAGUCCGCCCACUGAAGCCUUUGAUUCGCGGUUAAACUCCGAAAUCAUGGUGGAGCAGUCACUUACGGGAGUAAGAUUCAGAAAUGGAUGGCAACCGCUCAGAAACGAUACCACCUUUUAGGAGGAUGAUGUGAGAGAAGUUCUUGGCAACAAGAAUGAGUUAACCCACUGACGUUCUAAAAGGAAAGGAUGAAACGGCGAGCCCUGACUUGUGCAAGUCAAAUUUUACAUGACGCAUAGUCGAAUGCUAAGACAACCUAUCGACAAAAUCAUCUAGAUUUUGUUUUGGGGUUGACAAAAGGCGGCUUAUUCCAAUCCUG